Baffinella frigidus is the source of this 73-nucleotide non-coding RNA. The record is from the annotation of a GenBank genome assembly. NCBI's taxonomy places the organism in Eukaryota, Cryptophyceae, Cryptomonadales, Baffinellaceae.
GCCCGGCUGGCUCAAUGGACAGAGCGCCGGACUUCUAAUCCGGAGGUUGCGGGUUCAAGUCCCGCGUCGGGUG